This 811-nucleotide ribosomal RNA is filed under the name Verrucostoma martinicense. Its description in RNAcentral is "LSU rRNA". It matches the Rfam family "Eukaryotic large subunit ribosomal RNA", at positions 41 to 883 of the family's 3401-position model. The record is from RNAcentral. Lineage: Eukaryota; Fungi; Ascomycota; Sordariomycetes; Hypocreales; Bionectriaceae.
UAUCAAUAAGCGGAGGAAAAGAAACCAACAGGGAUUGCCUCAGUAAACGGGCGAGUGAAGCGGCAACAGCUCAAAUUUGAAAUCUGGCCCCCGGCCCGAGUUGUAAUUUGCAGAGGAUGUUUCUGGCGAGGUGCCUUCCGAGUUCCCUGGAACGGGACGCCAUAGAGGGUGAGAGCCCCGUACGGUUGGUCGCUAAGCCUCUGUGAAACUCCUUCGACGAGUCGAGUAGUUUGGGAAUGCUGCUCUAAAUGGGAGGUAUACGUCUUCUAAAGCUAAAUACCGGCUAGAGACCGAUAGCGCACAAGUAGAGUGAUCGAAAGAUGAAAAGCACUUUGAAAAGAGGGUUAAAUAGUACGUGAAAUUGUUGAAAGGGAAGCGCUUAUGACCAGACUUGGGCCGGUUGAUCAUCCAUCGUUCUCGGUGGUGCACUCUGCCGGCUCAGGCCAGCAUCAGUUUGGCUCGGGGGAUAAAGGCUUUGGGAAUGUGGCUCUCUCCGGGGAGUGUUAUAGCCCACUGCGUAAUACCCUGCGCUGGACUGAGGUACGCGCUCCGCAAGGAUGCUGGCGUAAUGGUCAUCAGCGACCCGUCUUGAAACACGGACCAAGGAGUCGUCUUCGUAUGCGAGUGUUCGGGUGUCAAACCCCUACGCGUAAUGAAAGUGAACGUAGGAGAGAGCUUCGGCGCAUCUCCGACCGAUCCUGAUGUUCUCGGAUGGAUUUGAGUAAGAGCAUACGGGGCCGGACCCGAAAGAAGGUGAACUAUGCCUGUAUAGGGUGAAGCCAGAGGAAACUCUGGUGGAGGCUCGCAGCGG